GUUUGGAAUGAUGAUCCUUUGUUUUCCGAUUUGUUCGAUUGUUUGUAUCAUGGCAUAUAUGUAUUAGCUCUAUCUGAUCAUUC
Molecule: small nucleolar RNA, 83 nt
Filed under: Lupinus angustifolius (narrow-leaved blue lupine)
Lineage: Eukaryota; Viridiplantae; Streptophyta; Magnoliopsida; Fabales; Fabaceae
Description: Small nucleolar RNA Z102/R77
Rfam family: Small nucleolar RNA Z102/R77
About the family: Z102 and R77 and are members of the C/D class of snoRNA which contain the C (UGAUGA) and D (CUGA) box motifs. Most of the members of the box C/D family function in directing site-specific 2'-O-methylation of substrate RNAs.
Source: Rfam by way of RNAcentral